RNAcentral lists this long non-coding RNA (888 nucleotides) under Monodelphis domestica (gray short-tailed opossum). RNAcentral's name for it is "lncRNA (ENSMODG00000038316.1)". The record is from RNAcentral. Lineage: Eukaryota; Metazoa; Chordata; Mammalia; Didelphimorphia; Didelphidae.
CAGACAGGAUCUUAGCAUCUGAAUUUUACCUUGGGCUUAGGUUCUGAACUUAAGACAGCAGAUGUGGGGUGAAGUAUUAUUGCACUGCUCUAAAUCCUGGUAAAUGUCUGGCACUUGGGAGCUGCAACCUUGGGGUCGAGGGAAGAUUGUUAACCAACUCUUCAGUACUGCUACAUUACACAUUUCCAAAUUGUUGAAAAAUCUGAUGGAAAUGAAGGUUCUUCAGACCUGUUGAUGGCAUAUUGAAUUAAUGUGAGGGAUGGGGAGGAACACCCUGAAUUGAUUGACCAUCGUGAACCUUCUCCAUGAGGAUCUCAUUAUGAAGUAGGGUUUGAAAAUAAUUUGCAAAGCCAUCAGGGCUGACAAAUCCACCUUGCUUAAAAAACAUUUUCACUGAGAAGGAGGAGUGAACGUUUAAAUAGUGCCUCCCAUGGGCCAGGUACUGUGCUAGCAACUUUUUACAAGUAUCUCAUAUGAGCCUCACAACAACUCUAUUACAUGUAGAUACAGUUUUAAUAAUCAGUGAUCUAUGUUCUCUCCCUUCAUCUCUCUCAUCCCUAAGAAGGGAGAGUCAAAAAGUUGCCCAAGUUUUUCUUCCUGUCACAACACUAAAGAGGAUAAAGACAUCUCUGUGUUAUACCAAAAAUAUCUUCAAGAAAAUAAAUGAGUAUUUGGAUGCUCAUUGCUUUAAGAUAUGGUACAUAUUGGGAAAUGAUCAUGAGGUAAAAACUAAAAAAGUCAAUAAAAUUCAUAUUUUCAGGCAAGUAUUGACCUGACCUCUUCUUCAGAAUCAAGCUUCACCUCACAAGUGCUUCUGUCUAGAGUGAGAUAUAAAUCUUCUUGGUUGAAAGAGUCAUAAUGAGGCACCUUCCAGGCUAAAGUUUUAAC